UUAUUUUGAGCAUGUCCCCGGCGUGAUGAAAUCACGGCCUGUGUGCUCAGCCCAAGUAACUUCUCCAUCAGCACCAGCACCAUUCUCACAGGUCACGGGAGGCUUUCAUGGCAACUGGAAGCUGUGAUGAACUCCUAACGGGUUUUGAUGUCGGCAACCCAGACUCAAAAAAAAAAAUCAGGAUGAAAGAUUUCCACAGAUGGGCGUGGAGCGGUGAAGAGGCUUCUGAGACGGAGGGAGAGGACAAACCAGCAGGCUGGGUCCAGGUGUCCUGGCUCCGACCUUACCCCCUCCCCGGACCUCACUUAUUCUUACGGCAAGCAUGACGGGGGAACCAUGAAGAUCCAGCAGGAAAACACCCAGUUUCUGUAUCCAAAGGCCUUUCCUGUUUUGGUAAGCCAGCUGGGCCAACACUCCCUAAACAAGGCCAAAUUCCACCUUUGUGCAGCUCUGCGGGGGUGGCCUGCCAAUGCCACCGAGGCCCCACACCUCCUCCCUGGCCUCUCCAGGGGCCCCUCCUGCCCUGCCCAGGGAGGACAUGGGGCUGGUGAGGGAGUUCAGUGUCUUCACCAGGAGUCUCCUGUGACUGUGGGCCCGGGAGACGUCGGUGGCUGCGCAAGCCACCCUGGCCGGAGACCCUGUCCUUGACUCUAGUUGAGUCUUCAGCCUGUCACUGCCCCGUGGGCCCCGCCUGGCUCCCAGCAAGGCCUGGCCGCAUGCCCAGAGACAGGAUUAGGCGCUCUGGGGGCCAAACAUCCAAGGGCAGCUAAGCACACGGAUGUGAGAGAAACAUCUUGAUCACAGCAUUCUUCUGGCUGCUGGAAAGCACCGGGCCGUGCUGCUGCUUAAUCUUGCUGUAUUUCUCACACAGCCAUGGGGCUGUGGAAAGAGGGGAGGAAAGUGCAAAAAGCAAACAUCAGCCCCUGCAAAAAGAGAUUAAGAACAGACACGGCCCAGGCACGUGCCCGUGGCCCCGUGCUGCCCACAGCGACCAGCUGGGAGACCCGGGCACAGCCUUCCUGGGGGGCAGGAGUGACCCACAGGGUGAGUUCAGCGUAUGUGAUCAGCUCACCACCCAGCACCUGGGCCACCUCAUGAGGGAGAGGGGCUGCGGCAGCCUGGAGUCAAACUGCCUGUGGGUGUGGAAAUAGAAACUGCAAGGCAGAGACGCAAGUGGCUGGAGAUAGCGCCGGGAGCGGCCUACCGGUAGCUCAGCGAAGGCCCCUUGAUGUACUUCUCCUCAGCCGUCUUGUAGUCCACCUCGUCCACCGCAGAGAUCGCACAGAUGAUGGCCUGUGAGAGGGCACGGGGCUCAAUAGCAGCAGGCACUGCCCAACUGGCCCCAAGUGGCCUGCGGUUAAGAAGGCCGCAGGGAGCCUGGGUCACCAGGUUCCAGCCUCCAGACAUGGUCUAGCUCAUGGUUCAGAAGGUGCAAACCUAGUCCAUGAAUCCCUGCUUGUAAUGAUGUUUCUUAAUUAAAUCAGUACUAUCUUUCGGACUAGACACAAUAGCUCAGAUCACUAAAAGCAGAGAAGAAAAGGCAAGACCCAAACCCACAAGAGCAUUUCUCAAAAAUUUUAAGUUUUUUUUUUGGUGGCGGUUUUUUCUGGUACAGAGUCUCGCCCUGUCGCCCAGGCUGGAGCGCAAUGGCAUAAUCUCAGCUCACUGCAACCUCUGCCUCCCGGGUUCAGGUGAUUCUCCUGCCUCAGCCUCCCGAGUAGCUGGGAUUAUAGGUACGCGCCACCACGCCCAGCUAAUUUUUGUAUUUUUAGUAGAAACGGGGUUUCACCAUGUUGGCCAGGCUGGUCUCAAGCUCCUGGCCUCAUGAUCCACCUGCCUCGGCCUCCCAAAGUGCUGGAAUUACCGAUGCGAGCCACCACACCCGGCCUUAAGUUUAUUGUUAUAAAAAAAAAAGAGUAUCCUGAAUACACAAUACAUACCUGACAUUAAGAAAUCAUCCCUAUUUUUUACUUUUGUGAUUAUGGUAAACACAUUUUUAACAGAGUCCAUUCGGUUCAGAGCAGAGUCUCUCCCACUCGGCCCUGUGGACGUCGGGGCCAGACUGUUCUCUGAGGUGGGGCUGUCCUAGGCGCUGCAGGGUGCUGAGCAGCGUCCCUGCCCCAACCC
RNAcentral lists this long non-coding RNA (2127 nucleotides) under Homo sapiens (human). RNAcentral describes it as "non-protein coding lnc-GAMT-7:1". The record is from RNAcentral. Lineage: Eukaryota; Metazoa; Chordata; Mammalia; Primates; Hominidae.